Long non-coding RNA from Oncorhynchus keta (chum salmon), 704 nucleotides. RefSeq lists it as uncharacterized. The transcript has 3 exons. NCBI's taxonomy places the organism in Eukaryota, Metazoa, Chordata, Actinopteri, Salmoniformes, Salmonidae. The record is from RefSeq and is a predicted model, not a curated record.
ACCUGGGGAGAAAGAGAGGUGGACAGGACAGGGAGAGAAUAUAAUCACCUGGGGAGAAAGAGAGGUGGACAGGGAGAGAAUAUAAACACCUGGGGAGAAAGAGAGGUUGACAGGGAGAGAAUAUAAACACCUGGGGAGAAAGAGAGGUGGACAGGGAGAGAAUAUAAACACCUGGGGAGAAAGAGAGGUUGACAGGGAGAGAAUAUAAACACCUGGGGAGAAAGAGAGGUGGACAGGGAGAGAAUAUAAACACCUGGGGAGAAAGAGAGGUUGACAGGGAGAGAAUAUAAACACCUGGGGAGAAAGAGAGGUGGACAGGGAGAGAAUAUAAACACCUGGGGAGAAAGAGAGGUUGACAGGGAGAGAAUAUAAACACCUGGGGAGAAAGAGAGGUGGACAGGGAGAGAAUAUAAACACCUGGGGAGAAAGAGAGGUUGACAGGGAGAGAAUAUAAACACCUGGGGAGAAAGAGAGGUGGACAGGGAGAGAAUAUAAACACCUGGGGAGAAAGAGAGGUGGACAGGGAGAGAAUAUAAUCACCUGGAUACACUGGAAUCAGAAAACUGACCCAACCAUACCUACUGUUGACAUUGUGUAUGGACAUCAUAUGGAGAUAUGAGUAUUGAGAAAUUAAGACAGGAAAUGAAAGGUUCUGGUACUAACAUUUCCUGGAUAGAUUUGUGUAACUUGGUUGUAUGGUGUUA